UACAGAGGUCUCAAGCGUUGUUCGGAUUCAUUGGGCGUAAAGCGUGUGUAGGCGGUCCACUAAGUCGGGUGUGAAAGCCCUGGGCUCAACCCAGGAAGUGCACUCGAAACUGGCGGGCUAGAGUAUCGGAGAGGUUGGUGGAAUUCUCGGUGUAGAGGUGAAAUUCGUAGAUAUCGAGAGGAACACCGGUGGCGAAGGCGGCCAACUGGACGAAUACUGACGCUGAGACACGAAAGCGUGGGGAGCAAACAGG
This 253-nucleotide ribosomal RNA is filed under the name uncultured bacterium. Its description in RNAcentral is "partial 16S ribosomal RNA". It matches the Rfam family "Bacterial small subunit ribosomal RNA", at positions 524 to 776 of the family's 1533-position model. The record is from RNAcentral.